AUUGAACGCUGGCGGCAUGCCUUACACAUGCAAGUCGAACGGCAGCACGGGAGCAAUCCUGGUGGCGAGUGGCGAACGGGUGAGUAAUAUAUCGGAACGUGCCCAGUCGUGGGGGAUAACGUAGCGAAAGCUACGCUAAUACCGCAUACUAUCUAUGGAUGAAAGCGGGGGAUCGCAAGACCUCGCGCGAUUGGAGCGGCCGAUAUCAGAUUAGGUAGUUGGUGAGGUAAAGGCUCACCAAGCCGACGAUCUGUAGCUGGUCUGAGAGGACGACCAGCCACACUGGGACUGAGACACGGCCCAGACUCCUACGGGAGGCAGCAGUGGGGGAAUUUUUGGGACAAUGGGCGCAAGCCUGAUCCAGCAAUGCCGCGUGCAGGAUGAAGGCC
This 389-nucleotide ribosomal RNA is filed under the name uncultured bacterium. RNAcentral describes it as "bacterial SSU rRNA". It matches the Rfam family "Bacterial small subunit ribosomal RNA", at positions 30 to 416 of the family's 1533-position model. The record is from RNAcentral.